AAAUCACAGGUCCGCAAGGGCUUUGCACAGGUGGUGCAUGGCUGUCGUCAGCUCGUGUCGUGAGAUGUUGGGUUAAGUCCCGCAACGAGCGCAACCCUCGUCUUGUGUUGCCAUCAGGUAAUGCUGGGAACUCACAAGAGACUGCCGGGGUCAACUCGGAGGAAGGUGGGGACGACGUCAAGUCAUCAUGCCCCUUAUGUCUAGGGCUGCACGCAUGCUACAAUGGCCGAUACAAAGGGCUGCGAUACCGCAAGGUGGAGCGAAUCCCAUAAAGUCGGUCUCAGUUCGGAUUGAGGUCUGCAACUCGACCUCAUGAAGUUGGAGUUGCUAGUAAUCGCGGAUCAGCAACGCCGCGGUGAAUACGUUCCCGGGCCUUGUACACACCGCCCGUCACGUCACGAAAUCGGUAACACCCAAAACCAGUGUCCAACCGUAAGGGGGAAGCUG
RNAcentral lists this ribosomal RNA (447 nucleotides) under uncultured Actinomycetes bacterium. Its description in RNAcentral is "bacterial SSU rRNA". It matches the Rfam family "Bacterial small subunit ribosomal RNA", at positions 1004 to 1455 of the family's 1533-position model. Lineage: Bacteria; Bacillati; Actinomycetota; Actinomycetes. The record is from RNAcentral.